UUAGAAAGUGAACAAAAUACGAGAGGAAGAAAAGCAAACAAGUUCAGAUUUACUGUAAGAAAGAAGAGAACAAAUUUAUGAGUUCAGAAAAUAAACCCGCAUCCCUAGAGAAUUACUACAGAGAUGAAAACCAUCAUGGUCCAAGUUGGUCCUCAAAGAACUAGUUGUGAUGAAGCUGGAGAGAAAAUGAAAUCCAAUGAGGGAAAAAGCAUAUAUCUGGAAUGGGCUUUCUAAGGUAGAGGGGCAAUAAGAAGACACUGGCAGAUAUCAAACUGGCAGACAUUACCAACCUCCCCUCUGCUCCACAGGAAGAUAGCCUGAGGAGCUAAUCGUAGGUGGUGCCAGGUCAAAG
Long non-coding RNA from Zalophus californianus (California sea lion), 352 nucleotides. RefSeq lists it as uncharacterized. The record is from RefSeq and is a predicted model, not a curated record. The transcript has 3 exons. NCBI's taxonomy places the organism in Eukaryota, Metazoa, Chordata, Mammalia, Carnivora, Otariidae.